UUGGAGAAGUGGCAAGUCUUCCAGUAUGGGGAGCAAACAGCUAUGGGUCAAGCCCGAUACCUUUAAGAGAAGUCUUAUUGUGAGGGCGAGUUGUAUAACACCAUAGGGCUGGCCGUCCCAUAUGAAAAGAUUUUAUUAGAAUUGAAUGAAACUUUGUUUAUAUAUUGAUAAUGACAGUAUAUAUAUCGUGUCUUGACUAAUUGCGUGCCAGCAGUCGCGGUAAUACGUAAGAGACUAGUGUUAUUCAUCUUAAUUAGGUUUAAAGGGUACCCAGACGGUCUAUAUAGCUUAUAAAAUGUUAGUAUAAGACUAGAGUUUUAUGUAAGAGGGCAGUACUUGAGGAGGAGAGAUGAAAUUUCGUGAUACCAAAGGGACUCUGUAAAGGCGAAGGCAGCCCUCUAUGUAAAAACUGACGUUGAAGGACGAAGGCACAGAGAACAAACAGGAUUAGAUACCCAAGUAGUCUUUGCAGUAAAUGAUGAAUGCCAUAGGUUAGAUCUAUAUUUCUAUUAUAAUAAUACAUUUCUAUUAUUUAUUAUAAAACGCAUUCCUUAUAUAGCUUCGCGCUAUAAUAUAUUUUAUAUAUAGUGCAGCAGAAAUUUUUGUAUCUGGUCUAUAAAUGAAAGUGUAAGCAUUUCACCUCAAGAGUAAUGUGGCAACGCAGGAACUGAAAUCACUAGACCGUUUCUGACACCAGUAGUGAAG
This 705-nucleotide ribosomal RNA is filed under the name Fusarium graminearum. RNAcentral's name for it is "SSU rRNA". It matches the Rfam family "Bacterial small subunit ribosomal RNA", at positions 346 to 937 of the family's 1533-position model. Lineage: Eukaryota; Fungi; Ascomycota; Sordariomycetes; Hypocreales; Nectriaceae. The record is from RNAcentral.